AGUAACACGUGGGUAACCUGCCUUAUAGUGGGGGAUAGCCUUUCGAAAGGAAGAUUAAUACCGCAUAAGAUUGUAGUAUCGCAUGAUAUAGCAAUUAAAGGAGCAAUUCGCUAUAAGAUGGACCCGCGUCGCAUUAGCUAGUUGGUGAGGUAAUGGCUCACCAAGGCGACGAUGCGUAGCCGACCUGAGAGGGUGAUCGGCCACAUUGGGACUGAGACACGGCCCAGACUCCUACGGGAGAGCAUG
This 246-nucleotide ribosomal RNA is filed under the name uncultured bacterium. Its description in RNAcentral is "partial 16S ribosomal RNA". It matches the Rfam family "Bacterial small subunit ribosomal RNA", at positions 109 to 347 of the family's 1533-position model. The record is from RNAcentral.